Molecule: ribosomal RNA, 423 nt
Filed under: uncultured bacterium
Lineage: Bacteria
Description: partial 16S ribosomal RNA
Rfam family: Bacterial small subunit ribosomal RNA
Source: RNAcentral
AAUAUUGGACAAUGGGAGAAACCCUGAUCCAGCCAUCCCGCGUGUAUGAAGAAGGCCUUCGGAUUGUUAAGUACUUUACGCAGAGACGAAGAGCAUUCGGAUAAUACGUUCCACUUAUGACGUUAUCGACAGAAUAAGCACCGGCUAACUUCGUGCCAGCAGCCGCGGUAAUACGUAGGGUGCAAGCGUUAAUCGGAAUUACUGGGCGUAAAGCGCGCGUAGGUGGUUUGGUAAGCUGGGUGUGAAAGCCCCGGGCUUAACCUGGGAACUGCUUUCAAAACUGGCGAGCUAGAGUAUGGAAGAGGGUGGUGGAAUUUCCUGUGUAGCGGUGAAAUGCGUAGAUAUAGGGAGGAACACCGGUGGCGAAGGCGGCCCCCUGGGCUAAUACUGACCCUGAGACGCGAAAGCGUGGGGAGCAAACAG